UUGGAGGGCAAGUCUGGUGCCAGCAGCCGCGGUAAUUCCAGCUCCAAUAGCGUAUAUUAAAGUUGUUGUGGUUAAAAAGCUCGUAGUUGAACCUUGGGCCUGGCUGGCCGGUCCGCCUCACCGCGUGUACUGGUCCGGCCGGGCCUUUCCCUCUGUGGAACCCCAUGCCCUUCACUGGGUGUGGCGGGGAAACAGGACUUUUACUGUGAAAAAAUUAGAGUGCUCCAGGCAGGCCUAUGCUCGAAUACAUUAGCAUGGAAUAAUAGAAUAGGACGUGUGGUUCUAUUUUGUUGGUUUCUAGGACCGCCGUAAUGAUUAAUAGGGACAGUCGGGGGCAUCAGUAUUCAAUUGUCAGAGGUGAAAUUCUUGGAUUUAUUGAAGACUAACUACUGCGAAAGCAUUUGCCAAGGAUGUUUUCAUUAAUCAGGAACGAAAGUUAGGGGAUCGAAGACGAUCAGAUACCGUCGUAGUCUUAACCAUAAACUAUGCCGACUAGGGAUCGGACGGUGUUAUUUUUUGACCCGUUCGGCACCUUACGGGAAAC
RNAcentral lists this ribosomal RNA (544 nucleotides) under uncultured Ascomycota. Its description in RNAcentral is "SSU rRNA". It matches the Rfam family "Eukaryotic small subunit ribosomal RNA", at positions 548 to 1098 of the family's 1831-position model. Lineage: Eukaryota; Fungi; Ascomycota. The record is from RNAcentral.